Molecule: unclassified non-coding RNA, 169 nt
Filed under: soil metagenome
Description: partial internal transcribed spacer 1
Source: RNAcentral
CAGAGUUGCAAAACUCCCUAAACCAUUCGUGAACGUUACCUAACCAAGUUGCUUCGGCGGCGCCCGGGUUCUCCCGGGUCCCACCGGGGCCGCCAGCCGGCGGCCGCCGUAGUCACCAAACUCUUAUUAAUUAAUGGCCUCAUCUGAGUACUUCUUACUUAAUAAGUCA